This 171-nucleotide small nuclear RNA is filed under the name Physeter macrocephalus (sperm whale). RNAcentral describes it as "Physeter catodon (sperm whale) U2 spliceosomal RNA (ENSPCTG00005017316.1)". It matches the Rfam family "U2 spliceosomal RNA". From Rfam's summary of the family: U2 is a small nuclear RNA (snRNA) component of the spliceosome (involved in pre-mRNA splicing). Complementary binding between U2 snRNA (in an area lying towards the 5' end but 3' to hairpin I) and the branchpoint sequence (BPS) of the intron results the bulging out of an unpaired adenosine, on the BPS, which initiates a nucleophilic attack at the intronic 5' splice site, thus starting the first of two transesterification reactions that mediate splicing. The record is from Rfam by way of RNAcentral. Lineage: Eukaryota; Metazoa; Chordata; Mammalia; Artiodactyla; Physeteridae.
AUCGCUUCUCGGCCUUUUGGCUAAGAUCAAGUGUAGUACAAUGUGUUAGUUUCUGCUGUACAGUGAAGUGAAUCAGCAAUAUGUAUACAUAUAUCCCCUCCCUCUUAGACCUGUCUCCACCCCAAUCCCAUCCAUCUAGGUCAUCACAGAGCACUGAGCUGAGAUCCCUGU